CCCACAGAAAUACCUGCUGCUCAUUUGCUGCCAUGGCAACGGAGCCCAGCCCAGCACCUGUGCAGAUGCUGGCCGUGUCAAGUUACCACCCACCUCAGCCUGGGUACCUUUGGAUAACCAACUGUUAAACUCGAUAUCUCAAGAACUGUGGCUUAAGAUAGCAUAAGUGAACCAUCUGGAAAUAAGGGAUCACUGUAAGCUUUACUCAGCAAACAAAUGCCAGGAGGAACCCAGAAGUAAAAGCAAUAAGAGCACACUCUCAAAGGGAGCAUCACUCGAAGUCUCAGCAAGGCCAGAACAUUGAGUGGGCAGGAGGGUGGUGGAAGGAGGACUGGAGCUCAGCAUCACCGCUUAAGAGGAUCACAACUGACAUGUUCUACAAAGAAACCAUUCAUUUUGCCUAAGUGACAUUUAUGCCAAGAAACUUUUUCUCAGUUAUUUCACAACUUGUUUUUCACUGACAGCUAUCCAGAGAAAAACCAAGUUAAAAACUCUUUAGACUGCUGAGCAAUCAAUAUAGAGGGACAAAGAGACAAAAAUAUUCAUCUACCAAACAAGACAAUAUGGCAUACCCAACGUCUAGAACACUUAAAACAGCUUUGGUUGCAAUUACUCAGACCAAAGGUAAACUACAUUCUCAUUUUACAGCAAAAGAAUAUUCAAAGGACAGAUGUAGCCUUAACAGAAACCAUACCCAACCAUGGUCUGAAACUACUGCUCUCUUAAAGAAAUUACUGUCCAAAGGCUGGACUCACGAAAAAAAGAAAAUGUUGCCAGAAGUUCAAAGAUUUCCCACUAAAAUGGCAGAACAAGAUCAGACACAGAGUCCUUGUUAGGAAGAACAAGGGUAUGAAGUUAACACAGGAGGUGAAUAAAGUCUACAUUCAGAAACAGUAAAAUCGAAGAAUUUAUGAGAGCCGACAAAUUAGACUGUAAUAGGGUUAAGGACCAACUGAUGGCAUCACAGACUUCUUCACAAAUUAUUAAUAGACUUGUUACUUUGCAAGAAAUUAUUAUUAGGGAUACAACUGUCACAGUCAAGUUCGAAGAUAAAGAAACCAAACCUUUGCUUGUACGAAAAGAGAAUUCCUGUCCAUUAACAAUUUAUACUCAAGAAAAAAAUCCUGAGGCAACUUCAAGUUCAAAAACAAGUGAGUAAAUGUCCUGUUUACAGACCGUGUCCGAGUUAAAAAAACAAACAAAACAAAAACAAAACACCAAAAAAACUCUAAAAGACAAAACAAAGGACACUGUAGAUAUUUAAUGAAAUGAACUUGUUCCCAAAAUUGAGAAAUCCUACAGAAUAUUCAGGUAUAUGUUUUAUAUCAAGAUUAUAGAAGAAAGAUCUUUACAUUGAAGAACCUCAAACUACACAGUGAAAUUCUCUAGAACAGGUAGUUAAGGAGAGUUAAUAAUUAAUACUCAUGUUUCUGAAAAAUAACUUUAAUAAAAUGUUUGUAACAGAAGUAGAUAAUAGUGCAUUUCAGGGCUAAGUUUAAGGGAAAAUAAUAAGGAAAGGAAGAAAAAAAAAGAGGAACUGAUGAAGUAUUAAGUAAAAAUCCAUAGGUCAGUUGGAAAAAACGGCUGGGUGAAAUUCCAUUUUUUUUGUUGGCAUUUCUACCUUCAUCUGCAA
This is a long non-coding RNA of Gallus gallus (chicken), 1633 nucleotides long. RefSeq lists it as uncharacterized. Lineage: Eukaryota; Metazoa; Chordata; Aves; Galliformes; Phasianidae. The transcript is spliced from 3 exons. The record is from RefSeq and is a predicted model, not a curated record.